GGUUGACCUCGGAUCAGGUAGGAGUUACCCGCUGAACUUAAGCAUAUCAAUAAGCGGAGGAAAAGAAACCAACAGGGAUUGCCUCAGUAACGGCGAGUGAAGCGGCAAGAGCUCAAAUUUGAAAUCUGGCCCCUUGGGGUCCGAGUUGUAAUUUGCAGAGGAUGCUUCGGGUGCGGUCCCCAUCUAAGUGCCCUGGAACGGGCCGUCAUAGAGGGUGAGAAU
This 222-nucleotide ribosomal RNA is filed under the name Talaromyces purpureus. RNAcentral's name for it is "partial 28S ribosomal RNA". It matches the Rfam family "Eukaryotic large subunit ribosomal RNA", at positions 1 to 219 of the family's 3401-position model. Lineage: Eukaryota; Fungi; Ascomycota; Eurotiomycetes; Eurotiales; Trichocomaceae. The record is from RNAcentral.